This 253-nucleotide ribosomal RNA is filed under the name uncultured bacterium. RNAcentral's name for it is "partial 16S ribosomal RNA". It matches the Rfam family "Bacterial small subunit ribosomal RNA", at positions 524 to 776 of the family's 1533-position model. The record is from RNAcentral.
GACGUAGGGCGCGAGCGUUGUCCGGAUUUAUUGGGCGUAAAGAGCUCGUAGGUGGCUUGUCGCGUCGUUCGUGAAAACUCACAGCUCAACUGUGAGCUUGCGGUCGAUACGGGCAGGCUAGAGUUCGGUAGGGGAGACUGGAAUUCCUGGUGUAGCGGUGAAAUGCGCAGAUAUCAGGAGGAACACCGGUGGCGAAGGCGGGUCUCUGGGCCGAUACUGACGCUGAGGAGCGAAAGCGUGGGGAGCGAACAGG